AUAUUGAGAAGGGCUGUCCCUAGUACGAGAGGACCGGGACGGACGAACCUCUGGUGUGCCAGUUGUUCUGCCAAGGGCAUGGCUGGUUGGCUACGUUCGGGAGGGAUAACCGCUGAAAGCAUCUAAGCGGGAAGCCUGCUUCGAGAUGAGUAUUCCCACCUCCUUGAGAGGGUAAGGCUCCCAGUAGACGACUGGGUUGAUAGGCCGGAUAUGGAAGCCCUGUAAGGGGUGGAGUUGACCGGUACUAAUAGGCCGAGGGCUUGUCCUCAGUUG
This 273-nucleotide ribosomal RNA is filed under the name Streptomyces albidoflavus. RNAcentral describes it as "partial 23S ribosomal RNA". It matches the Rfam family "Bacterial large subunit ribosomal RNA", at positions 2659 to 2925 of the family's 2925-position model. The record is from RNAcentral. Lineage: Bacteria; Bacillati; Actinomycetota; Actinomycetes; Kitasatosporales; Streptomycetaceae.